AUAUAUCGUUGUUUUUUCCUGUUUUCUACCACAAUACAAUCACAAUACUGGAAACAAAAUGCACAAAAGAUUCUUGCUGUACCAGACCAGGAUUUCCAGGAAUUGCAGGGCACAAAGAGGAGGAGACUGAGCCGGAAAGAUGAAGACGCUGUAGGCAUUGGAGAGGUCACUGAAAAAAUGGAAGAGCUCAUACUGGCAUCAUAAAGCCUACCCAAUGUCACUGCAGCAAUCAGAGAGCUCACCAAUGUGACUGCCACUCAAAGAGUCACCCUGACUCGUUCCCAGCUACAGACCAUCGAGCAAGGCUUCAGCUGUGUUGUUUGUUUGAUUCAUUGAGGAAUCAGUCUUCAUGUAGUGUUGCAAAAGCAUCAUUGGCUGCAAGACAUGUGUGGAACAGUGGCAGGAGACCUCUGACUACUGUGCAAAAUGUAGGGGGAACUUCAGACACAGCAAUGUAUCUGAGGUUAAUGGUCUGUCUGAGACAUUGUCUGUUCUGAAAUCUCUUUUGGAAGAGUAGUAACAUUUUGCACUUUCAUACUCACAGAAAGCCAUGGUGUAUUUGAGUUUAUUUUGUUGACUGAAAAUAUGAGUUAGAGCUGUUGUUCAGAGUUGAUUUAGCAUAAAGAAGGAAGUUGAAAAAUUUGACCACAGUUCUUAUUGACAUCACUAUUUCAUUGACCUUAACAUUUGCAUUAACCUUUUUUCUUUACCAAACACAUACUGUCACCAGUUACCUGUUCCUGUUACUAAUUUCCAUUCUGUAAGUGCAAAUGGAGCAAAUGGCAUUUAACACAUUGGGCUGAGUUGUAGUUAUGAGAUGGAGCAAGGCCUCUUUGUAUGGAGCAAAGUCAUUGUUCACUGCUCUGGAGAGCAAGUCUGAUAUGUCUGAAUAUUUCUCUGCAAACUGAUUCUCAACUCCAAGUUUGUUCUGUACGGCUGAAAAUGGAUCAACUCCAAAAGUAGAAUAUGUGGUUAGUUCGGAUCCCAGUUGUUGGCUGUACACAUCUGCUGCUUCAACUGAAUGAGGCAGCAGCUCCUGUGGGAUUUUUCUGGGACAACCACUGCCAGCCAAGUGGUUUGGUAUGCCUUUACCUGGAAAAUAAAAAAACAUAUGGUUGAUCAUGAAA
Molecule: long non-coding RNA, 1127 nt
Organism: Notolabrus celidotus (New Zealand spotty)
Lineage: Eukaryota; Metazoa; Chordata; Actinopteri; Labriformes; Labridae
Exons: 3
Source: RefSeq, a predicted model, not a curated record